GACGAACGCUGGCGGCGUGCUUAACACAUGCAAGUCGAACGGAAAGGCCCUGCUUGCAGGGUACUCGAGUGGCGAACGGGUGAGUAACACGUGGGUGAUCUGCCCUGCACUUCGGGAUAAGCUUGGGAAACUGGGUCUAAUACCGGAUAGGACCGCACUUUAGUGUGUGUGGUGGAAAGUUUUUUCGGUGUAGGAUGAGCUCGCGGCCUAUCAGCUUGUUGGUGGGGUAAUGGCCUACCAAGGCGGCGACGGGUAGCCGGCCUGAGAGGGUGUACGGCCACAUUGGGACUGAGAUACGGCCCAGACUCCUACGGGAGGCAGCAGUGGGGAAUAUUGCACAAUGGGCGCAAGCCUGAUGCAGCGACGCCGCGGGGGGGAUGAAGGCCUUCGGGUUGUAAACUCCUUUCGCUAGGGACGAAGCUUUUUGUGACGGUACCUAGAUAAGAAGCACCGGCUAACUACGUG
Molecule: ribosomal RNA, 465 nt
Filed under: uncultured bacterium
Lineage: Bacteria
Description: partial 16S ribosomal RNA
Rfam family: Bacterial small subunit ribosomal RNA
Source: RNAcentral